This 253-nucleotide ribosomal RNA is filed under the name uncultured bacterium. Its description in RNAcentral is "partial 16S ribosomal RNA". It matches the Rfam family "Bacterial small subunit ribosomal RNA", at positions 524 to 776 of the family's 1533-position model. The record is from RNAcentral.
UACGUAGGGUCCGAGCGUUGUCCGGAAUUACUGGGCGUAAAGAGCUCGUAGGUGGUUUGUCGCGUUGUUCGUGAAAACUCACAGCUCAACUGUGGGCGUGCGGGCGAUACGGGCAGACUUGAGUACUGCAGGGGAGACUGGAAUUCCUGGUGUAGCGGUGGAAUGCGCAGAUAUCAGGAGGAACACCGGUGGCGAAGGCGGGUCUCUGGGCCGAUACUGACGCUGAGGAGCGAAAGCGUGGGGAGCGAACAGG